This 253-nucleotide ribosomal RNA is filed under the name uncultured bacterium. Its description in RNAcentral is "partial 16S ribosomal RNA". It matches the Rfam family "Bacterial small subunit ribosomal RNA", at positions 524 to 776 of the family's 1533-position model. The record is from RNAcentral.
UACGAAGGGAGCUAGCGUUGUUCGGAAUUACUGGGCGUAAAGGGCGCGUAGGCGGCUUGGCAAGUUGGGUGUGAAAGCCCAGGGCUCAACCCUGGAAUUGCACUCAAGACUGCCUUGCUUGAAUUCGGUAGAGGUUGGUGGAAUUCCCAGUGUAGAGGUGAAAUUCGUAGAGAUUGGGAAGAACACCCGUGGCGAAGGCGGCCAACUGGACCGACAUUGACGCUGAGGCGCGAAAGCGUGGGGAUCAAACAGG